GGGGAUUUAGCUCAGUGGUAGAGCGCUUGCCUAGCAAGCACAAGGUCCUGGGUUCGGUCCCCAGCUCCA
Molecule: non-coding RNA, 69 nt
Organism: Rattus norvegicus (Norway rat)
Lineage: Eukaryota; Metazoa; Chordata; Mammalia; Rodentia; Muridae
Source: Rfam